GCUUAAAAUCCAGCCUAUUUUCUCCCAUGAACCCUUAAACUAAUAAACCUAAAUAAAACAUUUCCCUGUUCUAGUAAAGGCGAUAGAAAAAACUCCAAGAGCUUUAACUUUAGUACCGCAAGGGAACGAUGAAAUAUUAAUGAAAUAACUUAAGCAUUAAAAAGCAAAGAUUAACUCUUGUACC
RNAcentral lists this ribosomal RNA (184 nucleotides) under Ingerana borealis (Rotung oriental frog). RNAcentral's name for it is "partial 16S ribosomal RNA". Lineage: Eukaryota; Metazoa; Chordata; Amphibia; Anura; Dicroglossidae. The record is from RNAcentral.